AUGGGCUGGAAGCUCGCCCAGUUCGCGUACACCAUCCGCAUCGACUUCCAGUACCGCGGCCUCGGCGCCGCCAUGCUAGCGGACCUGGAGCCGUUCAUGCUGCAGCCGGAGGACUCGAACGAGGAGCCCGAGGUAAUCGCCGUCAACUCAGUCUUCGAGAUGCACCGGCUGCUCGCCCAGCCCGGCGCCAUGGAGAAGGUCCUGGGCACCGUGCGCGUCGUGCGGCCGAGGAUCGUCACCGAUGUGGAGCACGAGGGGAACCACAACUCCGGCACAUUCCUGGACCGCUUCACUGAGCACUACUACUACUCCACCAUGUUCGAUUCCUGGACUCGCUGCACUACUACUCCACCAUGUUCGAUUCCCUCGAGGGCGGCAGCUCCGGCGGCCCAUCCGAAGUCUCAUCGGGGGGAAGCUGUUGCUCCUGCCGCCGCCGGCACGGACCAGGUCAUGUCUGAGGUGUACCCCGGCCGGCAUAUCUGUAACAUGGUGGCCUGCGAGGGGGCGGAGCGCACAGAGCGCCACGAGACACUGGGCCCGAGCGGGGUCGCAAGGGAGGAGGCCGAGAGCGCGCGGAUGGCCGCCCACUCCACGUCGCCGGACCGGUGCGGCCGGAACGCCGCGGACGGGCGCGGCGAGCACGCGGUGGCCGCCGCCGCCAUGGCGGCUGACGGGGUGCAGUCGAAGGAGAGCCGUGACAGACUGGACAGGUGUGCUAUACUGCGGGUUGAUUAG
This 735-nucleotide ribosomal RNA is filed under the name Triticum aestivum (bread wheat). RNAcentral describes it as "partial small subunit ribosomal RNA". Lineage: Eukaryota; Viridiplantae; Streptophyta; Magnoliopsida; Poales; Poaceae. The record is from RNAcentral.